Molecule: ribosomal RNA, 322 nt
Filed under: Staphylococcus aureus
Lineage: Bacteria; Bacillati; Bacillota; Bacilli; Caryophanales; Staphylococcaceae
Description: bacterial SSU rRNA
Rfam family: Bacterial small subunit ribosomal RNA
Source: RNAcentral
UUUAUGGAGAGUUUGAUCCUGGCUCAGGAUGAACGCUGGCGGCGUGCCUAAUACAUGCAAGUCGAGCGAACGGACGAGAAGCUUGCUUCUCUGAUGUUAGCGGCGGACGGGUGAGUAACACGUGGAUAACCUACCUAUAAGACUGGGAUAACUUCGGGAAACCGGAGCUAAUACCGGAUGAUAUUUUGAACCGCAUGGUUCAAAAGUGAAAGACGGUCUUGCUGUCACUUAUAGAUGGAUCCGCGCUGCAUUAGCUAGUUGGUAAGGUAACGGCUUACCAAGGCAACGAUGCAUAGCCGACCUGAGAGGGUGAUCGGCCACA